CUAUGCGCCUUGCCAGCCCGCUCAGUCAGAGUUUGAUCCUGGCUCAGAACGAACGCUGGCGGCAGGCUUAACACAUGCAAGUCGAGCGCACUCUUUUAGAGUGAGCGGCAAACGGGUGAGUAACGCGUGGGAAUCUACCCCUCUCUACGGAAUAACACAGAGAAAUUUGUGCUAAUACCGUAUACGUCCCUUUUGGGAGAAAGAUUUAUCGGAGAUGGAUGAGCCCGCGUUGGAUUAGCUAGUUGGUGAGGUAACGGCCCACCAAGGCGACGAUCCAUAGCUGGUCUGAGAGGAUGAUCAGCCACACUGGGACUGAGACACGGCCCAG
RNAcentral lists this ribosomal RNA (328 nucleotides) under uncultured bacterium. Its description in RNAcentral is "bacterial SSU rRNA". It matches the Rfam family "Bacterial small subunit ribosomal RNA", at positions 1 to 334 of the family's 1533-position model. The record is from RNAcentral.